GAAGAGAUUUGAGUAUUGAAAGCUGUGAUAAUCUUAGUGUCCCUUGCUAGAGAAAACUUUGGCCUCAGUAGCCUGCCUCUACCUGAAGGCUGCUGGCAUUGAGGUGGGUCACAUGUUG
Molecule: small nucleolar RNA, 118 nt
Filed under: Peromyscus maniculatus bairdii (prairie deer mouse)
Lineage: Eukaryota; Metazoa; Chordata; Mammalia; Rodentia; Cricetidae
Description: Small nucleolar RNA SNORA42/SNORA80 family (ENSPEMG00000006348.2)
Source: RNAcentral